GACGAACGCUGGCGGCGUGCUUAACACAUGCAAGUCGAGCGGAAAGGCCCUUCGGGUACUCGAGCGGCGAACGGGUGAGUAACACGUGGGUAACCUGCCCUUCACUCUGGGAUAACUCCGGGAAACCGGGGCUAAUACCGGAUACGACCACUUUAGGCAUCUUCGGUGGUGGAAAGUUUUUCGGUUGGAGGAUGGACCCGCCGGCCUAUCAGCUUGUUGGUGGGGUAAGUGGCCUACCAAGGCAGUGACGGGUAGCCGGCCUGAGAGGGCGACCGGCCACACUGGGACGUGAGACACGGCCCAGACUCCUACGGGAGGCAGCAGUGGGGAAGUAUUGCGCAAUGGGCGGGAAGCCUGACGCAGCGACGCCGCGUGAGGGA
This 380-nucleotide ribosomal RNA is filed under the name uncultured bacterium. Its description in RNAcentral is "bacterial SSU rRNA". It matches the Rfam family "Bacterial small subunit ribosomal RNA", at positions 28 to 408 of the family's 1533-position model. The record is from RNAcentral.